RNAcentral lists this ribosomal RNA (315 nucleotides) under uncultured Bacteroidales bacterium. RNAcentral's name for it is "bacterial SSU rRNA". It matches the Rfam family "Bacterial small subunit ribosomal RNA", at positions 28 to 339 of the family's 1533-position model. Lineage: Bacteria; Pseudomonadati; Bacteroidota; Bacteroidia; Bacteroidales. The record is from RNAcentral.
GAUGAACGCUAGCGGCAGGCUUAACACAUGCAAGUCGAGGGGCAGCGCGAGGUAGCAAUACUUUGGCGGCGACCGGCGAAAGGGUGAGUAACGCGUGAGCAACAUGCCCGUAAGUGGAGGAUAGUCGAUGGAAACGUCGCGUAAUACUCCGUAACAACAGUAUUCGCAUGGGUAUUGUUUAAUAGAUUUAUCGCUUACGGAUUGGCUCGCGUGCCAUUAGCUAGUUGGCGGGGUAACGGCCCACCAAGGCUACGACGGGUACCCGGCCUGAGAGGGCGGACGGGCACAUUGGGACUGAGAUACGGCCCAGACUCC